AAAAAAAAAAGUUUGAGAAAAGCAAUAGACGUUAAGGUAUAAUCAUAAUGGAGGACAAGAAGAAAGGAAGAGCCAUCUCCUGUUACCUAAUUAUCCAGGAAGUCUCUAAGCUAGGGCCUCCAGCCCCAUUCUGUGCUACCGCGUCCUUCCCAGCUCAGAAGAAUCCCUCGCUGCCAGCUCUUCUGUAAAAGAUGCAGAACAUUGCUGCAUCCAGUUCCCCAUGAAAAGAUCGGUCAAACCCCCAAACUAUAGCUGGGAUACAGGAAGGAUAAGUACAUAUAAGUGUUGUUUUGUUACAUAUUCUCUUAACCUUUGCUUGCUGGCCUGAAACAUUUCCUUUGCUGUCUGAUGUUGCAGACAUUUACACACUUGUCUUGCUGGUGGUUUUACCCAUGGACAGGUCUCUCCAGGAGUCUCCAUGCAGUCAGGAGCUGCAUUUGUGGUCAGGAUCUUGUCCUCAGUCUUCAUCUGAGCUAUGCCAUGUGUGCCUGUGUGCAUGUGUGAACUUUGAGGUUCACAAUAACCCAGAUCCUGAACUUGCAUUCCUGGCUUGACCUCAGACUGACCACUUUGCCGUGGAUAUCUCUGGUGAUCUGGACUAUUGCUAACCCUGCUUACCAUCACUGGACAGGAGUUUUCCCCGUCCCUGAACCUAAUCUUGCUUUACACUGGUACUACACUCGGUCAGUGAAACCAGUGACGCCCAUCACGCUCGCUGCCACCCUCAGCUCCUGGCUCACACCUUUCCUUAUGGAGAAAAGGGAGCAGCCACCCACCACUGCUGCUCCCUGCUCAGAAUAAACACAGCAUGCAUUCUUGCCUUUAAAAGAAAAGCAGUUAAUGUGAAGUCACCUCCUUUCCAGAAGUACCGGAGUGCCACAGGGUGUCAUUCACAGCAGCACGUCUCUGAAGGCGAUGACGGCACAGGGGAGCAAACAGGUCUCAUGUCAGAUCAACAGAAGCAUAACUGUGAAAUCCUGGUACUUUUUA
This is a long non-coding RNA of Oxyura jamaicensis (ruddy duck), 990 nucleotides long. RefSeq lists it as uncharacterized. Lineage: Eukaryota; Metazoa; Chordata; Aves; Anseriformes; Anatidae. The transcript has 3 exons. The record is from RefSeq and is a predicted model, not a curated record.